This 64-nucleotide transfer RNA is filed under the name Dipodomys ordii (Ord's kangaroo rat). It matches the Rfam family "tRNA". From Rfam's summary of the family: Transfer RNA (tRNA) molecules are approximately 80 nucleotides in length. Their secondary structure includes four short double-helical elements and three loops (D, anti-codon, and T loops). Lineage: Eukaryota; Metazoa; Chordata; Mammalia; Rodentia; Heteromyidae. The record is from Rfam by way of RNAcentral.
GGUGGCUCAGUGGUAGAGUGCUUGCCUCACAUGCAAGAGGCCUGGCUUUGAUUCCUCAGCACCA